RNAcentral lists this ribosomal RNA (464 nucleotides) under uncultured bacterium. RNAcentral's name for it is "partial 16S ribosomal RNA". It matches the Rfam family "Bacterial small subunit ribosomal RNA", at positions 28 to 507 of the family's 1533-position model. The record is from RNAcentral.
GACGAACGCUGGCGGCGUGCUUAACACAUGCAAGUCGAACGGAAAGGCCCCUUCGGGGGUACUCGAGUGGCGAACGGGUGAGUAACACGUGAGUAACCUGCCCUGACUUCGGGAUAACUUCAGGAAACUGGGGCUAAUACCGGAUAGGAAUCCUUGCUGCAUGGUGGGGGUUGGAAAGCUUCGGCGGUUUUGGAUGGACUCGCGGCUUAUCAGCUUGUUGGUGGGGUAGUGGCUUACCAAGGCUUUGACGGGUAGCCGGCCUGAGAGGGCGACCGGCCACAUUGGGACUGAGAUACGGCCCAGACUCCUACGGGAGGCAGCAGGGGGGAAUAUUGCACAAUGGGCGGAAGCCUGAUGCAGCAACGCCGCGUGCGGGAUGACGGCCUUCGGGUUGUAAACCGCUUUCAGCAGGGGCGAAGCUUGUGGUGACGGUACCUGCAGAAGAAGCACCGGCUAACUACGUG